Molecule: long non-coding RNA, 223 nt
Filed under: Chrysolophus pictus (golden pheasant)
Lineage: Eukaryota; Metazoa; Chordata; Aves; Galliformes; Phasianidae
Description: lncRNA (ENSCPIG00010007826.1)
Source: RNAcentral
AGAUGGGUGGGGGAAAAUGAAGAAACUGCAAAGGCAGCAUUAUACACAGCGCAGCCCGUUAGGUUUUCCAUUGCUAUGAGCUUGUGAAGCACCUUUGAAAUAUGAUUUGAGCAGCACAACCUUUUAGGAACGAGUGUGGAAGCUAUCAGUAAGCAUCUCUUUGCUGAAGACAGGUGAUGUUUUAAACCAGCAUUUUGCUGAUGCAGAAAAAGUAGGAAAUCAG